RNAcentral lists this ribosomal RNA (253 nucleotides) under uncultured bacterium. RNAcentral describes it as "partial 16S ribosomal RNA". It matches the Rfam family "Bacterial small subunit ribosomal RNA", at positions 524 to 776 of the family's 1533-position model. The record is from RNAcentral.
UACGUAGGGUGCGAGCGUUGUCCGGAAUUAUUGGGCGUAAAGAGCUUGUAGGCGGUUUGUCGCGUCUGCCGUGAAAAUUCGAGGCUCAACCUCGAACUUGCGGUGGGUACGGGCAGACUAGAGUGCGGUAGGGGAGACUGGAAUUCCUGGUGUAGCGGUGAAAUGCGCAGAUAUCAGGAGGAACACCGAUGGCGAAGGCAGGUCUCUGGGCCACUACUGACGCUGAGAAGCGAAAGCAUGGGGAGCGAAUAGG